UACGGAGGGUGCAAGCGUUGCUCGGAAUUACUGGGCGUAAAGCGUGCGCAGGCGGCUAACUAAGUCGGAUGUGAAAUCCCUGGGCUCAACCCAGGAACUGCAUUCGAAACUGAUUGGCUUGAAUGCGGGAGAGGAGAGCGGAAUUCCUGGUGUAGAGGUGAAAUUCGUAGAUAUCAGGAGGAACACCGGUGGCGGAAGCGGCUCUCUGGCCCGACAUUGACGCUCAUGCACGAAAGCGUGGGGAGCAAACAGGAUUAGAUACCCUGGUAGUCCACGCCGUAAACGAUGGAUGCUAGCUGCCGGAAACGUCUACCGUUUCGGUGGCGAAGCUAACGCAUUAAGCAUCCCGCCUGGGAAGUACGGCCGCAAGGUUG
This 374-nucleotide ribosomal RNA is filed under the name uncultured prokaryote. RNAcentral describes it as "bacterial SSU rRNA". It matches the Rfam family "Bacterial small subunit ribosomal RNA", at positions 524 to 896 of the family's 1533-position model. The record is from RNAcentral.